This 299-nucleotide ribosomal RNA is filed under the name Bacillus sp. 7788. Its description in RNAcentral is "partial 23S ribosomal RNA". It matches the Rfam family "Bacterial large subunit ribosomal RNA", at positions 2628 to 2925 of the family's 2925-position model. Lineage: Bacteria; Bacillati; Bacillota; Bacilli; Caryophanales; Bacillaceae. The record is from RNAcentral.
AGUUCGGUCCCUAUCCGUCGCGGGCGCAGGAAAUUUGAGAGGAGCUGUCCUUAGUACGAGAGGACCGGGAUGGACGCACCGCUGGUGUACCAGUUGUUCUGCCAAGGGCAUCGCUGGGUAGCUAUGUGCGGACGGGAUAAGUGCUGAAAGCAUCUAAGCAUGAAGCCCCCCUCAAGAUGAGAUUUCCCAUUCCGCAAGGAAGUAAGAUCCCUGAAAGAUGAUCAGGUUGAUAGGUCUGAGGUGGAAGCGUGGUGACACGUGGAGCUGACAGAUACUAAUAGAUCGAGGACUUAACCUAU